This 440-nucleotide ribosomal RNA is filed under the name uncultured bacterium. Its description in RNAcentral is "partial 16S ribosomal RNA". It matches the Rfam family "Bacterial small subunit ribosomal RNA", at positions 338 to 795 of the family's 1533-position model. The record is from RNAcentral.
CCUACGGGAGGCAGCAGUGGGGAAUAUUGCACAAUGGGGGAAACCCUGAUGCAGCGACGCCGCGUGAGUGAAGAAGGAUUUCGGUAUGUAAAGCUCUAUCAGCAGGGAAGAAAAUGACGGUACCUGAGUAAGAAGCCCCGGCGAACGACGUGCCAGCAGCCGCGGUAAUACGUAGGGGGCAAGCGUUAUCCGGAUUUACUGGGUGUAAAGGGAGCGUAGACGGCAGCACAAGGCUGGAGUGAAAUGCCGGGGCUUAACCCCGGAACUGCUUUGGAAACUGUGCAGCUAGAGUGCAUGAGAGGUAAGUGGAAUUCCUAGUGUAGCUGUGCAAUGCGUAGAUAUUAGGAGGCACACCAGUGGCGACGGCGGCUUACUGGACUGUAACUGCCGUUGAGGCUCGAACGCGUGGGGAGCACACAGGAUUAGAUACCCCUGUAGUC